This 434-nucleotide ribosomal RNA is filed under the name uncultured Roseburia sp. Its description in RNAcentral is "partial 16S ribosomal RNA". It matches the Rfam family "Bacterial small subunit ribosomal RNA", at positions 341 to 792 of the family's 1533-position model. The record is from RNAcentral. Lineage: Bacteria; Bacillati; Bacillota; Clostridia; Lachnospirales; Lachnospiraceae.
ACGGAAGGCAGCAGUGGGGAAUAUUGCACAAUGGGCGAAAGCCUGAUGCAGCGACGCCGCGUGAGUGAUGAAGUAUUUCGGUAUGUAAAGCUCUAUCAGCAGGGAAGAUAAUGACGGUACCUGACUAAGAAGCACCGGCUAAAUACGUGCCAGCAGCCGCGGUAAUACGUAUGGUGCAAGCGUUAUCCGGAUUUACUGGGUGUAAAGGGAGCGCAGGCGGUACGGCAAGUCUGAUGUGAAAGCCCGGGGCUCAACCCCGGUACUGCAUUGGAAACUGUCGAACUAGAGUGUCGGAGGGGUAAGUGGAAUUCCUAGUGUAGCGGUGAAAUGCGUAGAUAUUAGGAAGAACACCAGUGGCGAAGGCGGCUUUCUGGACUGUAACUGACACUGAGGCUCGAAAGCGUGGGGAGCAAACAGGAUUAGAUACCCUGGUA